This 367-nucleotide ribosomal RNA is filed under the name Centropyge vrolikii (pearlscale angelfish). Its description in RNAcentral is "partial 12S ribosomal RNA". It matches the Rfam family "Bacterial small subunit ribosomal RNA", at positions 801 to 1372 of the family's 1533-position model. Lineage: Eukaryota; Metazoa; Chordata; Actinopteri; Pomacanthidae. The record is from RNAcentral.
UAAACAUAGACAGUUCACAUACCCGACUGUCCGCCCGGGAACUACGAGCAUUAGCUUAAAACCCAAAGGACUUGGCGGUGCUUUAAACCCCCCUAGAGGAGCCUGUUCUAGAACCGAUAAUCCCCGUUCAACCUCACCCUUCCUUGUUCUUUCCGCCUAUAUACCACCGUCGUCAGUUUACCCUGUGAAGGUACAACAGUAAGCACAAUCGGCACAGCCCAAAACGCCAGGUCGAGGUGUAGCGUAUGGAAGGGGAAGAAAUGGGCUACAUUCCUUAUCAUUAAGGCAUACGGAUGAUAUGUUGAAACGCAUAUCUGAAGGAGGAUUUAGCAGUAAGCAGGAACUAAAGUGUCCCGCUGAAACCGGC